RNAcentral lists this ribosomal RNA (844 nucleotides) under Anthostella stephensoni. RNAcentral describes it as "partial 12S ribosomal RNA". It matches the Rfam family "Bacterial small subunit ribosomal RNA", at positions 320 to 1494 of the family's 1533-position model. The record is from RNAcentral. RNAcentral also lists the same sequence under 1 other name. Lineage: Eukaryota; Metazoa; Cnidaria; Anthozoa; Actiniaria; Actiniidae.
UGAAACAAGGGGAAGACUCACAUAGAGGCAGCAGUAGAGAAUCUUGUGCAAUAAACGAAAGUAUGACACAGAGAGGACACAUUUAAUUGAGCCCGUCAAAUUAAGUGCCAGCCGACGCGGUUAAACUUAAGGGCUGGUCUUUAUAAGUAAAAAGGCGUAAAGGAUGUGUAGGCUAAGAAACGAUCCAAGUAGGUAAAUGGAAUUUUUCUGGAGCGGUAGAAUGUGAGGAUAGAAAAUAGAACCCCUAAGGUAAAAACUAUUUACUACAAGGUAGGCUGAAACAUGAGAGUGUGGGGAGCAAACAGGAUUAGAGACCCUGGUAGUCCACACUGUGAACUUUGAAGAUGAUGCUUAGCAGACCCGAAAGGUAAAAUCUUCCGCCUGAGUAGUACGAUCGCAAGAUUAAAAUUCAAAAACUUUGGCUGUUCACUAUUUCGAUUAGAGGAGCGUGUAGUUUAAUUCGAUGGUCCGCGUGUUACCUUACCCCAACUUGAAUCUGUGACCGGUAUUGCAUGGCCGUCGUAAGUUCGUGUAUUAAGCUAGAAGGGACCCAACCCGGGCAUUUGCCCGGAGGAAGUCAGGUCUUAUGAUCCGAAUGUUGGGGGAUUUUAUGCGCUACAUUUUCUUAUAUAAUGAGAAACCUGGAAGGUGAGUCUCUAAAGUAAGAGUUCGGAAGGUCGCUGUAAGACGACUGGAAGUUGGAUUUAAUAGUAAUCGGAAAGUAGGGCGUUCCGGUGAAUUGGUACAAGUGUUAGCACAAAUUGCCCGUCACCUUUACUUAGAAUGGUUAUUCGGACGUCUUCGGUGAUUACGAAUGCCUACGAGGUAAAGCAAGUCGUAACAU